CCUACGGGCGGCAGCAGUAGGGAAUAUUGCUCAAUGGGGGAAACCCUGAAGCAGCAACGCCGCGUGGAGGAUGAAGGUUUUCGGAUUGUAAACUCCUUUUGUUAGAGAAGAUAAGGACGGUAGCUAACGAAUAAGCACCGGCUAACUCCGUGCCAGCAGCCGCGGUAAUACGGAGGGGGCAAGCGUUACUCGGAAUCACUGGGCGGAAAGAGCGCGUAGGCGGGAUAGCAAGUCAGAUGUGAAAUCCUAUGGCGGAACCAUAGAACUGCAUUUGAAACUGUUAUUCUAGAGUAUGGGAGAGGUAGUUGGAAUUCUUGGUCUAGGGGUAAAAUCCGUAGAGAUCAAGAGCACUCCUC
RNAcentral lists this ribosomal RNA (356 nucleotides) under uncultured bacterium. RNAcentral describes it as "partial 16S ribosomal RNA". It matches the Rfam family "Bacterial small subunit ribosomal RNA", at positions 338 to 711 of the family's 1533-position model. The record is from RNAcentral.